AAAUUGAAGAGUUUGAUCAUGGCUCAGAUUGAACGCUGGCGGCAGGCCUAACACAUGCAAGUCGAACGGUAACAGAAAGCAGCUUGCUGCUUUGCUGACGAGUGGCGGACGGGUGAGUAAUGUCUGGGAAACUGCCUGAUGGAGGGGGAUAACUACUGGAAACGGUAGCUAAUACCGCAUAACGUCGCAAGACCAAAGAGGGGGACCUUCGGGCCUCUUGCCAUCGGAUGUGCCCAGAUGGGAUUAGCUUGUUGGUGGGGUAACGGCUCACCAAGGCGACGAUCCCUAGCUGGUCUGAGAGGAUGACCAGCCACACUGGAACUGAGACACGGUCCAGACUCCUACGGGAGGCAGCAGUGGGGAAUAUUGCACAAUGGGCGCAAGCCUGAUGCAGCCAUGCCGCGUGUAUGAAGAAGGCCUUCGGGUUGUAAAGUACUUUCAGCGGGGAGGAAGGGAGUAAAGUUAAUACCUUUGCUCAUUGACGUUACCCGCAGAAGAAGCACCGGCUAACUCCGUGCCAGCAGCCGCGGUAAUACGGAGGGUGCAAGCGUUAAUCGGAAUUACUGGGCGUAAAGCGCACGCAGGCGGUUUGUUAAGUCAGAUGUGAAAUCCCCGGGCUCAACCUGGGAACUGCAUCUGAUACUGGCAAGCUUGAGUCUCGUAGAGGGGGGUAGAAUUCCAGGUGUAGCGGUGAAAUGCGUAGAGAUCUGGAGGAAUACCGGUGGCGAAGGCGGCCCCCUGGACGAAGACUGACGCUCAGGUGCGAAAGCGUGGGGAGCAAACAGGAUUAGAUACCCUGGUAGUCCACGCCGUAAACGAUGUCGACUUGGAGGUUGUGCCCUUGAGGCGUGGCUUCCGGAGCUAACGCGUUAAGUCGACCGCCUGGGGAGUACGGCCGCAAGGUUAAAACUCAAAUGAAUUGACGGGGGCCCGCACAAGCGGUGGAGCAUGUGGUUUAAUUCGAUGCAACGCGAAGAACCUUACCUGGUCUUGACAUCCACAGAACCUUGUAGAGAUACGAGGGUGCCUUCGGGAACUGUGAGACAGGUGCUGCAUGGCUGUCGUCAGCUCGUGUUGUGAAAUGUUGGGUUAAGUCCCGCAACGAGCGCAACCCUUAUCCUUUGUUGCCAGCGGUCCGGCCGGGAACUCAAAGGAGACUGCCAGUGAUAAACUGGAGGAAGGUGGGGAUGACGUCAAGUCAUCAUGGCCCUUACGACCAGGGCUACACACGUGCUACAAUGGCGCAUACAAAGAGAAGCGACCUCGCGAGAGCAAGCGGACCUCAUAAAGUGCGUCGUAGUCCGGAUUGGAGUCUGCAACUCGACUCCAUGAAGUCGGAAUCGCUAGUAAUCGUGGAUCAGAAUGCCACGGUGAAUACGUUCCCGGGCCUUGUACACACCGCCCGUCACACCAUGGGAGUGGGUUGCAAAAGAAGUAGGUAGCUUAACCUUCGGGAGGGCGCUUACCACUUUGUGAUUCAUGACUGGGGUGAAGUCGUAACAAGGUAACCGUAGGGGAACCUGCGGUUGGAUCACCUCCUUACCUUAAAGAAGC
RNAcentral lists this ribosomal RNA (1554 nucleotides) under Escherichia coli. RNAcentral describes it as "bacterial SSU rRNA". It matches the Rfam family "Bacterial small subunit ribosomal RNA". The record is from RNAcentral. Lineage: Bacteria; Pseudomonadati; Pseudomonadota; Gammaproteobacteria; Enterobacterales; Enterobacteriaceae.